This 526-nucleotide ribosomal RNA is filed under the name uncultured bacterium. RNAcentral's name for it is "bacterial SSU rRNA". It matches the Rfam family "Bacterial small subunit ribosomal RNA", at positions 73 to 507 of the family's 1533-position model. The record is from RNAcentral.
GUACACGCAAAGAUAGCAAGUGGCAAGAAGAGCAAGAAAUUAAAACAAGGUCAAUACAAAAAGACAUUUGAUUGAUAGAAUACAAGACAGUAUAAAACUUUGUGAAUAAAAUUGAGUGCGGGAUAGUGGCGGACGGGUGAGUAACGCGUGAAUAAUCUGCCCCAUACGAGGGGGAUAGCCUACGGGAAACCGGGAUUAAAACCGCAUAACACUUUAUCACCGCAUGGUGAUGAAGUCAAAUCGAUUAAGAGGUAUGGGAUGAGUUCGCGUCUGAUUAGCUAGUUGGCGGGGUAAAGGCCCACCAAGGCGACGAUCAGUAGCCGGCCUGAGAGGGUGACCGGCCACACUGGAACUGAGACACGGUCCAGACUCCUACGGGAGGCAGCAGUGGGGAAUAUUGCACAAUGGGGGAAACCCUGAUGCAGCGACGCCGCGUGAGUGAAGAAGGUCUUCGGAUCGUAAAACUCUGUCCUUGGUGACGAAGGAAGUGACGGUAACCAAGGAGGAAGCCCCGGCUAACUACGUG